UUUCUCGACAGAGCAAAACAACUUUCACUCUUGUUAUUCUUAUCCUCGAUUGAUAUUCCUCUCUCUUCUACACAGAGAGAUUCACUACCGCUCCAUCACCAGAUCGUAGAAGAGAGAUUUACCAUCGCUCCAUCAUCAGAUCCAUCUCAACCCUCUUCCUCUUCUUUGAAUCAACUAAUUAAGCUCCAAACGUCCAUGAAAGAUUAAUUAAUGCGUAUGAAGGAAUCAACAAUUGUAGCAGGCUAGCAGCAUAACCAGAUGCAGUGUUCAAAUCAGAUGUUAAUGGUUGAAAUCACUCAGUGUGAAAAUUCAAGAGAAAGAUGAACAGGAAGCAUCAGAGAUUCUAAUGGCACGGUUGAACUUGAAAGCAUAGAGAAAGGAAAUAAAAAGAACUAGGUGUGCUAAAAUUGGGAGCUCCAGACAAGAUUGAUGUGCUAAAAUGACAAGCACUAAUUGUUGGAGCUCUUAUGGGAUUGAUAUAACUCAAAAGGUUGGAGUUGAAGUGAUGUAUGAUAUUGUAUGUAUGAUGCUAUUGUUAAGGAUACUUGGAGUAACAAGAUUUAUAUCUAAGGCUUCAAUUGGAGUGGCAAGUGCAGUUGGAGACUUUGGAUGCCCGACCGUUCAUGCCGUCAAGAACAACGAUUUUUACUAAAUCUGAUGGAUUUUAUGUUUUAGUUAUUAGAUUUUUUUGUUUUGGCAAUGUCUGUUGGAGUGAUGUAUUUGAUAUUUUAAAACAAUUAGUUUAACAUGUUAAUUUAUAACUCUUUUUUAGUAAAAUUAUCUGUCAGUUCUUCAGUUAACCGAAACCGGGAGGUUCAAA
Molecule: long non-coding RNA, 820 nt
Organism: Papaver somniferum (opium poppy)
Lineage: Eukaryota; Viridiplantae; Streptophyta; Magnoliopsida; Ranunculales; Papaveraceae
Exons: 5
Source: RefSeq, a predicted model, not a curated record